Non-coding RNA from Pelodiscus sinensis (Chinese soft-shelled turtle), 844 nucleotides. The record is from RefSeq and is a predicted model, not a curated record. NCBI's taxonomy places the organism in Eukaryota, Metazoa, Chordata, Testudines, Trionychidae.
UCCACCUACGUCAGGAUCCUGUUUUCUAACAAUGGCCAAUGCCAGGUGCUUCUGAAAGAAUGAACAGAACAGAUAAUUAUUAAAUGGGCCAUCCCCUGACAUCUAUGGACAAUGAAUCAGUCCUUAGUAAGUCAAAAGCAACAAGUGAUAAAUGAUUCAGAGGGGCCUCUACUCAAGUUUGAACUAUCACAGGUAUCAUUCUUCUGUACGAGAACACACUGUGCUGUAUACAGAAAUCUGUCUCUGUUAUCUAUUCAGAAACUACAAAACAUUCCUAGACACAUCCAAUUCUGAGGUAUAGACAGACAUACCCCAGAACUGUGGCACCCAUUAACCUAUCAAGCAAGUAUGUGCAGCUGUGUUUUGAUCAGUGAAAAGGUUUUCUGGAAUCCAAGAACUGAAAUCACCUUUUGGGGUAUGACAAACACAUCCAAGCAUCUAGCAAGUGAAAAUCAAGGGCUUCUCUAAGGAAGGAAUAAGAGAAAUUACCACAAAGAAUUAAAAGUAAAGAUUCCCUGGGACUGAUGUCAGUUUUUUGUAGGAAAGUAUGACCAUAUGCUCAUUGUAUGGAAUGCGAGGGGCCAGAAAUCCAUCCUCUGAUGUCUAGUUGAUGUCUGUUAACUGAUGCUAAACAACCUUCAGGGAGGCAAAGGAAGCAGUAGAUCAAUAGGAUGUCUUGACUGAAGUUGCCUGCAGCAGUUCCAUUUCUCAGAUUGGACACUGAUGCUAACUAUCAAUAGCAAUAAGAGGCUGUCUCAGACAGAAUUAAGGCUGUUUCUUCUGCAUGGCUGUCUGAUGGUUACUGAUAAACAUCUUGUGCACAGGAUUGCAACAAAUAAACCAU